UUUCUGUUAAUUUAAUCAUGAUUUUUACUUGUUCCUUUUUCAUUUCUUAUUGAGUCCUAAUAUUUAAAAUCUUUGCCUUUUCUUCUAGAUCAAAACUCACCAAUGAAGACUUCAGGAAACUUCUCAUGACCCCCAGGGCUGCACCUACCUCUGCACCACCUUCUAAGUCACGUCACCAUGAGUAAGUCUUUGGGUGAUCCAACCUGUCUCCCAACUUGUUUCUUGCUCCUUCCUAUUUCUUUCUACUAAGUAGAAUGACUUUUAAUAGUCCCUCAGGUAUUUAUGAUACUCUCUAAAGUUUGAGAACUGCCCACCUACAAAUAUUGGUGUGGAUUUCUGCUUGAUUGAAAGUGUUACUUUGAUCAGUAUUCUAGGUCUUUCUAAAA
This 386-nucleotide long non-coding RNA is filed under the name Homo sapiens (human). Its description in RNAcentral is "long non-coding RNA NONHSAT203314.1". Lineage: Eukaryota; Metazoa; Chordata; Mammalia; Primates; Hominidae. The record is from RNAcentral.